RNAcentral lists this ribosomal RNA (468 nucleotides) under uncultured bacterium. RNAcentral describes it as "partial 16S ribosomal RNA". It matches the Rfam family "Bacterial small subunit ribosomal RNA", at positions 28 to 507 of the family's 1533-position model. The record is from RNAcentral.
GACGAACGCUGGCGGCGUGCUUAACACAUGCAAGUCGAACGGAAAGGCCCUGCUUUUGUGGGGUGCUCGAGUGGCGAACGGGUGAGUAACACGUGAGUAACCUGCCCUUGACUUUGGGAUAACUUCAGGAAACUGGGGCUAAUACCGGAUAGGAGCUCCUGCUGCAUGGUGGGGGUUGGAAAGUUUCGGCGGUUGGGGAUGGACUCGCGGCUUAUCAGCUUGUUGGUGGGGUAGUGGCUUACCAAGGCUUUGACGGAUAGCCGGCCUGAGAGGGUGACCGGCCACAUUGGGACUGAGAUACGGCCCAGACUCCUACGGGAGGCAGCAGUGGGGAAUAUUGCACAAUGGGCGGAAGCCUGGUGCAGCAACGCCGCGUGCGGGAUGACGGCCUUCGGGUUGUAAACCGCUUUCGCCUGUGACGAAGCGUGAGUGACGGUAAUGGGUAAAGAAGCACCGGCUAACUACGUG